ACAGGCGGGUUGUUAAUCCGACCAUCGGCUCUAGGGGCGAACAGCCGAAUCUGCUCCGGGAUGCAGUACUGCUCCCGGAGCCGAUCGACGUUCGGCCCCGAAAAUGAAGAAACCUCCAUCUCUGGGGUCGACCGAGAAUUGUCAGUCAGGUUCUCCGACCGACUUCCUCGUGGGGAGGUUCUGGCCAUGAUGCUAGAACCGAGGUCAAAGGA
Molecule: long non-coding RNA, 212 nt
Filed under: Elaeis guineensis (African oil palm)
Lineage: Eukaryota; Viridiplantae; Streptophyta; Magnoliopsida; Arecales; Arecaceae
Description: long non-coding RNA (EGUI_LNC071835)
Source: RNAcentral